This 62-nucleotide ribosomal RNA is filed under the name Anopheles pullus. Its description in RNAcentral is "partial 5.8S ribosomal RNA". Lineage: Eukaryota; Metazoa; Arthropoda; Insecta; Diptera; Culicidae. The record is from RNAcentral.
AGUUAGCUGACGCAUAUUGCACGUCGUGGGACCUACCAUGACGAACACAUACUUGAGCGCUU